Molecule: long non-coding RNA, 1372 nt
Organism: Pygocentrus nattereri (red-bellied piranha)
Lineage: Eukaryota; Metazoa; Chordata; Actinopteri; Characiformes; Serrasalmidae
Exons: 3
Source: RefSeq, a predicted model, not a curated record
CACAGACUCUGACUCAUUAACAGACUUGACCAAGACAUCAGUGGAUGGCUAACAGUAAUGCUAAUAACAAUGAUAACUUAUUAAAUAAUAACGAUAACAACGAACCGUUCAUACAAGCCUACAGAGUCACCUGAGUCCUCGUCUCAGUCCAUCAGGCAGAACCUGCUCAUAUGGAACCUCGGGGCUGAAGUAUCCUGGAAAGGAAAGCAGGAGAGUGAAAGACUGAAAUGGAAGAAUGAUUUAAUGAACCUAACGAGUCCUGCAUCAUUCUUAACAAACCUGGCAAGUCCUCUGAUUUGACCCCCUGAGUGACCCUGACUGGGUUAUUCUGCACCAACCCAUCCAAGAUCUGGCAGGAUUUCCAUGAAGAAGAUUCAAACACCCUGUUUAACUGAGGCAGGCAUGCAACAUUUCACCAUCAGGUCCUGAACAUCUGAGCAUCUACAGAACGACUGAACUGGUCUCACUUUUCAAAUUAUUUAUGAAGAAAUCAGGUUUAACUCAGAGUUUAAAAUAACCACUGCUAAAAAUGCACUUUGUUGACCUGUUUGAUCUGCAUUUCUACUUCCUGAAAGAACAGUGAUGUCAUUAAUAUGUAGAGAUGCUGUAGUUUAGCUCAUGGAUUAUUUUUAGCGCAAGAUGUUUGACUUUCAAGCUAAGGAUAAAUAACAGGAAACUGGUGAAUAUUGUGAAGUUCUCAGGGGUCCUGCCACUAGAGGGCGCACUGGAGGCCGAGUGAUGUGUUCAGACAGAAAUUGAGAUGAUUCACUGCAGGUGUGCCUGAUAUUUAAAUUAGCAUGAUCUAAUUUGAUUGAUCAUCAUUUAAAUGCUGAAGUAAAUGAUCGGAAUGUUUGAUGGUUCAGUUUCAGUUUGGAAUGUGACUCAUUCUGAAACUGAUUACGGUCACAGUUUAUUUGGAUGGUUCCCUGUUGAUGCUCUACAGCUGCUUGAAUCAUUAACAACCUUUCUGGUGGUCCUCAGGUUAGGAUUAGGAGUAGAGGUAAGUUUAACCUUGAGGUUAGGGUUAGGAUUAAGGUUUAGGGUUCAGGGCUAGAUCUAAUAAACUCUUUCACGCUGAACUUCAAGUUGAGUUGAAUUUAAUGAGUAUUUAGUUGAAUGUUAUUGAAAGGCAGACUGAGCAUCUACAAAGCCUCUACAGCGGAGCGUCCGAAUAGUGUUGCCCCGAUUAUUGUUAAAUAUCUGUGAUUGGUCAUCAGAUCAGAAGAUGAAAGCUACCAGUGUCAGUGCUAAAGUAAGAGAUCUGAAUGUCUGAUUUGUGUAUAGAGGUAAACACACUGAAUGACCUGAAUGACCCUGUAAUUAUUUUUUUUGAAGGUUGAAAAAAGUUAAAAAGAAAAUAGUGUAUGUUUAC